GAUGAACGCUGGCGGCGUGCCUAAUACAUGCAAGUCGAGCGAACAGACGAGGAGCUUGCUCCUCUGACGUUAGCGGCGGACGGGUGAGUAACACGUGGAUAACCUACCUAUAAGACUGGGAUAACUUCGGGAAACCGGAGCUAAUACUGGAUAAUAUAUUGAACCGCAUGGUUCAAUAGUGAAAGACGGUUUUGCUGUCACUUAUAGAUGGAUCCGCGCCGCAUUAGCUAGUUGGUAAGGUAACGGCUUACCAAGGCAACGAUGCGUAGCCGACCUGAGAGGAUGAUCGGCCACACUGGAACUGAGACACGGUCCAGACUCCUACGGGAGGCAGCAGUAGGGAAUCUUCCACAAUGGGCGAAAGCCUGACGGAGCAACGCCGCGUGAGUGAUGAAGGUCUUCGGAUCGUAAAACUCUGUUAUUAGGGAAGAACAAAUGUGUAAUUAACUAUGCACGUCUUGACGGUACCUAAUCAGAAAGCCACGGCUAACUACGUG
RNAcentral lists this ribosomal RNA (497 nucleotides) under uncultured bacterium. Its description in RNAcentral is "partial 16S ribosomal RNA". It matches the Rfam family "Bacterial small subunit ribosomal RNA", at positions 28 to 507 of the family's 1533-position model. The record is from RNAcentral.